RNAcentral lists this ribosomal RNA (489 nucleotides) under uncultured bacterium. Its description in RNAcentral is "bacterial SSU rRNA". It matches the Rfam family "Bacterial small subunit ribosomal RNA", at positions 44 to 524 of the family's 1533-position model. The record is from RNAcentral.
AGGCCUAACACAUGCAAGUCGAGCGGUAGCACAGAGAGCUUGCUCUCGGGUGACGAGCGGCGGACGGGUGAGUAAUGUCUGGGAAACUGCCUGAUGGAGGGGGAUAACUACUGGAAACGGUAGCUAAUACCGCAUAACGUCGCAAGACCAAAGUGGGGGACCUUCGGGCCUCAUGCCAUCAGAUGUGCCCAGAUGGGAUUAGCUAGUAGGUGAGGUAAUGGCUCACCUAGGCGACGAUCCCUAGCUGGUCUGAGAGGAUGACCAGCCACACUGGAACUGAGACACGGUCCAGACUCCUACGGGAGGCAGCAGUGGGGAAUAUUGCACAAUGGGCGCAAGCCUGAUGCAGCCAUGCCGCGUGUAUGAAGAAGGCCUUCGGGUUGUAAAGUACUUUCAGCGGGGAGGAAGGCGAUAAGGUUAAUAACCUUGUCGAUUGACGUUACCCGCAGAAGAAGCACCGGCUAACUCCGUGCCAGCAGCCGCGGUAAU